Molecule: ribosomal RNA, 561 nt
Filed under: uncultured bacterium
Lineage: Bacteria
Description: bacterial SSU rRNA
Rfam family: Bacterial small subunit ribosomal RNA
Source: RNAcentral
GCGCACGGGUGAGUAACACGUGAAUAAUCUACCUCCGAGUGGGGAAUAACUGAGAGAAAUCUUAGCUGAAUACCGCAUAACACUUACGAGUCAAAGCAGCAAUGCGCUUGGAGAGGAGUUCGCGGCCGAUUAGUUAGUUGGCGGGGUAAUGGCCCACCAAGACGAUGAUCGGUAUCCGGCCUGAGAGGGCGCACGGACACACUGGAACUGAAACACGGUCCAGACUCCUACGGGAGGCAGCAGUGGGGAAUCUUGCACAAUGGAGGAAACUCUGAUGCAGCGACGCCGCGUGAGCGAUGAAGCCCUUCGGGGUGUAAAGCUCUUUCGACGGGAACGAUAAUGACGGUACCCGAAGAAGAAGCUGCGGCUAACUACGUGCCAGCAGCCGCGGUAAGACAGAGGGUGCGAACGUUGCUCGGAACUACUGGGCGUAAAGCGCGUGCAGGUUGGCUCUCCACGUCCGGUGUGAAAGCCCGGGGCUCAACCCCGGAAGCGCGCUGGAUACGAGGGAGCUUGAGGGCUGGAGAGGCAGGCGGAAAUUCCCGGUGUAGAGGUGAAAUU